AGGGUGUUUCUGCGAAAUGUUUUCAUGGUGUGGGAAUAAAACUUGGCGGUCUAAUACAGCUAAUACAUAGAUUAGCAUCACAGCUUGUCUGUAAGGAUUGAAGCUGGUAAUGGCCAUUUGGAGCUGACCUUUAUGGUAACUUUAACUGUGGCUGAGUGAUAUAACUGUAACAGUGAAGAAUGUUAUUCAGACAAUUUUUGUGUAUGUUUGAGAAAUUGUUAAUAAUUUUUUACAAAAAAAAAAAAUGUAAAGAUUCUCCAUUUUCAACAAGAUUGGAAGUAGAAUGUUAACUUGUAUUAAAAAUUUUUAAAAUCUUUUUUCCAUUUUAGCCUCAUGGCUGUACUCUGAUAGCUCUACUCAUGUCCAGAAUUGUCUUGACAUUUCUUUUUGUCAUGCUUAUGGAUACUGAACUGAUUUGUAUUGGUAUGUGUCUAGUCAAAACACUCCUAGUCCGUUAAGAACGGAGAAUCUAAAAAAAAAAAAAAAAAGGAAAAGAAAAGAAAAAGAAAAAAAUGUAAAUUUUAUUAUAAUGUAUUUUUUGUUUUAUUGAUUAUUGAUCGUUAGAUAUAUAUAUUUUUGCCAACUUUUUGGUUUUUUUAAUUUGAGUUUCUAAGGAAGAAUAAAAGUUUGUAAUAAUAUUUUGCAAGAAGUAUAGUUGAAGAAUAUCUUUGUGAAAAUAGAUUGAUUGAUUGAUUUUUGGUGUUUUUAACACCACUUUGAGCACUAUUGGCUAUAUCUUGAUGGCCAUUUUUUUUAUUGAGGAAGGAAGCUCCAGUUAUAUAAGAGAAUCACCGAUAUUUAAAAGGAAAACUCACAAUCCUCGUCAAUUAAGACCAGAGUCAAACCUACCGCUUGCCGGGUUCAAAAUCACAACUUAAGUAUUGACAGGCUACUGUUAUACUAGUUGAACUACUAAGAUCACUCAUGUCACCAAGAGGUGAAAAUUUAUGUACAAAAUGUACUUAAUAUAUUAUUGAAAUGUGUUGGAUUUUUGUUAUUAAAUUAUUUUUUAAUUUUACUAUUUUUUGUAUUGUUGUUAGAUAUAGCAAGGAUGUGGAGUCCUAACAGUGAAAUUUAGGUCAAAGGGAGGUAAUUUUUUAUACCCCGUUAAACUCCACAUACUUGAAGUUUCCUCAGUGUUAGGUUUUUAUUUACUUGGAUAUUCACGUCACGUUGUAUAAUUUAUUUUUAAUAUCAGAUGUAUACUACCGAAUAUCAAUUAUUAUUUAGAGCUCUGUAAUAAAAAAAAAAUAUGUAAGCAAAGCUCUAGAUUAUAGAUUUCUUGGGUGGGAGAAAUUGUUGGGUACAAAAACUGAUUUGGUGAAUUUUUUUCAAAAAAGUUAUUAGUUGAAAGUGCAUCUGAUAUUUUUUUUUUAUAUGUAACUGUAUUUAUAAGACAAACGAACAAAAAAUAGAUUGGCAAUAAAAUAAUGACAGCCACCCUCAGGGGUUCAAAUUAGUGUGGGUCCGAGGUCCGGGACCUGUCUUUUCUAGGAGAGGACUUUUCAUUUUUAAAUUACAAAAGUCAAGGACCUACCAUUCUUUACAUGAUGCUUGAUACACAACCAUUGAUUUCUUAUGGAGGACCCUUCACUUAAAAUUUCAAAUGGUUGUGGACCUUUCAUUAUUUAAAGAAAAUUUGAACCCCUGACCCUGGCAGCCAGGAACAGCUCCAUGGAAGAUGGUUAAAUGAAUCUUCAACCAAGUCUGAUGCCUUACCAAGAAAAU
Molecule: long non-coding RNA, 1728 nt
Organism: Mytilus californianus (California mussel)
Lineage: Eukaryota; Metazoa; Mollusca; Bivalvia; Mytilida; Mytilidae
Exons: 3
Source: RefSeq, a predicted model, not a curated record